ACUCCUACGGGAGGCAGCAGUGGGGAAUAUUGCACAAUGGGCGCAAGCCUGAUGCAGCCAUGCCGCGUGUAUGAAGAAGGCCUUCGGGUUGUAAAGUACUUUCAGCAGUGAGGAAGGUGGGUAGUGUUAAUAGCAUACUCAUUUGACGUUAGCUGCAGAAGAAGCACCGGCUAACUCCGUGCCAGCAGCCGCGGUAAUACGGAGGGUGCGAGCGUUAAUCGGAAUUACUGGCGUAAAGCGCAUGCAGGUGGUUUGUAAGUCAGAUGUGAAAGCCGGGGCUCAACCUCGGAAUUGCAUUUGAAACUGGCAAACUAGAGUACUGUAGAGGGGGUAGAAUUUCAGGUGUAGCGGUGAAAUGCGUAGAGAUCUGAAGGAAUACCGGUGGCGAAGGCGGCCCCCUGGACAGAUACUGACACUCAGAUGCGAAAGCGUGGGGAGC
This 439-nucleotide ribosomal RNA is filed under the name uncultured bacterium. RNAcentral describes it as "bacterial SSU rRNA". It matches the Rfam family "Bacterial small subunit ribosomal RNA", at positions 335 to 769 of the family's 1533-position model. The record is from RNAcentral.